CGGCAGGCCAACUACCUACGUCCUGUAAUUGGAUAUGGAAGCGGCCUUGAAAGUGCCACAGUGACGAAGCUGAUUGGGAAACCUUUCAGGUGGAACGAGGUAAACCCCGCGAGUGAGCAACCCAAAUAAUGGUAGGGGCAUCUUCUAGUAGGGAACAGGAACCGAACGAAGGACAAGCUAAGCUUGUAGAUAGAUGAUCACAACCGGAGUACGAGGUUGACCACCGUUUGCAGUACAAUGGUACAGAACAUGGCUUAUCGAG
RNAcentral lists this RNase P RNA (262 nucleotides) under Virgibacillus sp. 6R. RNAcentral's name for it is "partial RNase P RNA component class B". It matches the Rfam family "Bacterial RNase P class B", at positions 122 to 365 of the family's 365-position model. Rfam says of the family: Ribonuclease P (RNase P) is a ubiquitous endoribonuclease, found in archaea, bacteria and eukarya as well as chloroplasts and mitochondria. Its best characterised activity is the generation of mature 5'-ends of tRNAs by cleaving the 5'-leader elements of precursor-tRNAs. Lineage: Bacteria; Bacillati; Bacillota; Bacilli; Caryophanales; Bacillaceae. The record is from RNAcentral.